GUAGGUGGCAAGCGUUGUCCGGAAUUAUUGGGCGUAAAGCGCGCGCAGGCGGUCCUUUAAGUCUGAUGUGAAAGCCCACGGCUCAACCGUGGAGGGUCAUUGGAAACUGGGGGACUUGAGUACAGAAGAGGAAAGCGGGAUUCCAAGUGUAGCGGUGAAAUGCGUAGAGAUUUGGAGGAACACCAGUGGCGAAGGCGGCUUUCUGGUCUGUAACUGACGCUGAGGCGCGAAAGCGUGGGGAGCAAACAGGGAUUAGAUACCCUGGUAGUCCACGCCGUAAGCGAUGAGUGCUAAGUGUUAGGGGGUUUCCGCCCCCUUAGUGCUGCAGCUAACGCAUUAAGCACUCCGCCUGGGGAUACGGCCGCAAGGCUG
RNAcentral lists this ribosomal RNA (372 nucleotides) under uncultured organism. RNAcentral's name for it is "partial 16S ribosomal RNA". It matches the Rfam family "Bacterial small subunit ribosomal RNA", at positions 527 to 896 of the family's 1533-position model. The record is from RNAcentral.